GACGAACGCUGGCGGCGUGCUUAACACAUGCAAGUCGAACGGUAAGGCCCUUCGGGGUACACGAGUGGCGAACGGGUGAGUAACACGUGGGUGAUCUGCCCUGCACUUCGGGAUAUGCCUGGGAACCUGGGUCUUAUACCGGAUAGGACCACUGCCUGCAUGGGUGGCGGUGGAAAGCUUUUGCGGUGUGGGAUUGGCCCGCGGCCUAUCAGCUUGUUGGUGGGGUGAUGGCCUAACAAGGCGACGACGGGUAGGCGGCGUUAGAGGGUGACCGGCCACACUGGGAAUGAGAUACGGCCCAGACUCCUACGGGAGGCAGCAAUGGGGAAUAUUGCACAAUGGGCGCAAGCCUGAUGCAGCGACGCCGCGUGAGGGAUGACGGCCUUCGGGUUGUAAACCUCUUUCAGCACCGACGAUGCGCAAGUGACGGUAGGUGCAGAAGAAGGACCGGCCAACUACGUGCCAGCCGCCGCAGUAA
RNAcentral lists this ribosomal RNA (478 nucleotides) under uncultured bacterium. Its description in RNAcentral is "partial 16S ribosomal RNA". It matches the Rfam family "Bacterial small subunit ribosomal RNA", at positions 28 to 523 of the family's 1533-position model. The record is from RNAcentral.